Molecule: long non-coding RNA, 340 nt
Organism: Saccostrea cuccullata (small rock oyster)
Lineage: Eukaryota; Metazoa; Mollusca; Bivalvia; Ostreida; Ostreidae
Exons: 2
Source: RefSeq, a predicted model, not a curated record
AUGCACAUGUCUCAGAUGAGCAUUGUAGCCUACAGGCCUAUUAUUUUCUGAUCUUGUCAUGUUUCUUUUCCUUCUUUUUGUCAUUUACUGGUACAAAUUUGUUCUCUGUGUUGUUUGACAGAAUGAGAACAUUAGCUUCCUUGUGCCUCCCUAUUUGCUGGGUAGGACUGACCAAAAUUAAAUACCAUAUAGAAAACAAAGUCCAGUCAUGAUGACUAUUUUAAUAGAACACAUGUAAUAAAAAUUGUAAAGGCAAGUUUGUAAAUAUAUCAAGAAUAUAAUACAAUAGAAUUAACAGUUGUUGACUUUAUUAACAAAUAACAAUGGAUUAUUUAAUAUA